RNAcentral lists this ribosomal RNA (399 nucleotides) under uncultured bacterium. RNAcentral describes it as "bacterial SSU rRNA". It matches the Rfam family "Bacterial small subunit ribosomal RNA", at positions 490 to 890 of the family's 1533-position model. The record is from RNAcentral.
GCCCCGGCUAAUUACGUGCCAGCAGCCGCGGUAAUACGUAAGGGGCGAGCGUUGUCCGGAAUUAUUGGGCGUAAAGAGUGCGUAGGCGGCAAAUUAAGUCAGAUGUGAAAACUGUGGGCUCAACCCGUAGAUUGCAUCUGAAACUGAUAUGCUUGAGUCAGGGAGAGGAAAGUGGAAUUCCUAGUGUAGCGGUGGAAUGCGUAGAUAUUAGGAGGAAUACCGGUGGCGAAGGCGACUUUCUGGACUUGUACUGACGCUGAGGCACGAAAGCGUGGGGAGCAAACAGGAUUAGAUACCCUGGUAGUCCACGCCGUAAACGAUGAGUGCUAGGUGUCUGCAGUUAAAUGUAGGUGCCGUACGUUAACACAAUAAGCACUCCGCCUGGGGAGUACGUACGCA